This 2181-nucleotide ribosomal RNA is filed under the name Candidatus Hodgkinia cicadicola. Its description in RNAcentral is "bacterial LSU rRNA". It matches the Rfam family "Bacterial large subunit ribosomal RNA", at positions 384 to 2676 of the family's 2925-position model. The record is from RNAcentral. Lineage: Bacteria; Pseudomonadati; Pseudomonadota; Alphaproteobacteria; Hyphomicrobiales.
AGCUAUUAAAUAUGUUAAUUAAUUGAAAGUAGAACGGGACACGAGGAAUCCUGUUUGAAUAUAGGGAGACCACUUCCUAAGCCUAAAUAUUUAUGUAUAACCGAUAGUGAACUAGUACCGUGAGGGAAAGGUGAAAUAGAGCCUGAGUAAGGCAGUGAAAUAGAUCCUGAAACCGGAUGCUGACAAGCAGUCGUAGGGCUCUUAAGUCUGACGAUGUACCUUUUGCAUAAUGGGUCAACGAGUUAAUGUUGUGAGCACAGCUUAAGGGCGUUUGCCUGUAGGCGAAGCGAAAGCGAGUUUUAAAUGGGCGUUAAGUUCACGGCAUUAAACCCGAAACCGAGUGAUCUAACCAUGAACAGAUUGAAGGUUGGUUAAUACUGACUGGAGGAUCGAACCCGUGUCUGUUGCAAAAUACUGGGAUGAUUUGUGGUUAGGGGUGAAAGGCCAAUCAAACUCGGAGAUAGCUGGUUCUCUGCGAAAUCUAUUUAGGUAGAGUGUUAAAUUUAUUUUAAUGGGGGUAGAGCUCUGGAUGGAUGAUGGGAUGUAAAAAUCUACUGAUUUCAACCAAACUUUGAAUACCAUUAAAUAUGUGUUUAGCAAACACACUAUGGGCGCUAACGUCCGUGGUGAAGAGGGAAACAACCCAGACCUUAAGAUAAGGUCCUUAAAUUUGAGCUAAGUGUGAAAAGCUGUAAUUGUCUUAAGACAAUCAGGAUGUAGGCUUAGAAGCGGCCAUCAUUUAAAGAAAGCGUAACAGCUCACUGAUCUAUGGACAAUUGCGCUGAAAAUGUAUCGGGACUAAGCUCAGGACCGAAGCUAAGGGUACUGCCUAUUUGGCAGUGCGGUAGCAGAGCAUUCCGUAGACUGAAGAAAGUGAAUUGUGAGGUUUGCUGGAGGUAUCGGAAGUGAAAAUGUUGACAUGAGUAACGUAAAUGAGAGUGAAAAUCUUUCACGCUGAAAGACCAAGGUUUCCUAUUUAAAGUUUAUCUGAAUAGGGUUAGCCGGUACCUAAGGUAAAGCGGAAGCGCAUAGCCGAUGGAAAUCACGUUAAUAUUCGUGAGCCUUUUUGGGUGACUUAACAUGUAGUUUGUUUAAUCUGAUGGAUUGAUUAAGCUUAUGAUUGUUAACAGGAAAAAGCCCAUAAUUUAUGGCCGUACCAUAAACCGACACUGGUGGUCUAGUAGAGUAUACUAAGGCGUUGGGAUAAUUACGCUGAAGGAACUCGGCAAAUUGCACACGUAACUUCGGAAUAAGUGUGGCCUGUUUUGGGCAACCAAAAGUAGGCGGAAUUAAAAAGAGGAAGCGACUGUUUACCAAAAACACAGGACUCUGCAAAAUCGUAAGAUGAAGUAUAGGGUCUGACGCCUGCCCAGUGCUGACAGGUUAAAUCCAAAUGUGUAAUAGCGUUUGAUAUAAGCCUCAGUAAACGGAGGCCGUAACUAUAACGGUCCAAAGGUAGCGAAAUUCCUUGUCGGAUAAGUUCCGACCUGCACGAAUGGCGUAACGACUUCCUCGCUGUCUCCAGCGUAAACCCAGUGAAAUUGAAUUCCCCGUGAAGAUGCGGGGUACCCAUGGUAAGACGGAAAGACCCCGUGCACCUUUACUAUAGCCUUGCAUUGAUACAGCUUAUUUAUCUGUGUAGAGUAGAUGGUAGGUACUGAUCAUUAAGUGUUAGCUUAAAUGUGAACCGAUAGAUGAAACACCAUUCUGGUAUUGGGUGGUAUCUUAAUUGUGGUAUGCCAAUCAUAGCGCAAGACAUUGCAUGGUGGGUAGUUUGACUGGGGCGGUCGCCUCCUAAAGAGUAACGGAGGCGUACAAAGGUAAACUCAAAACGGUUGGAAACCGUUUGUAGAGCGCAAUGGUAUAAGUUUGCCUGACUGUGAGACGUACAUGUCAAACAGAGACGAAAGUCGGUCAUAGUGAUCCGGUGGAUCUGUGUGGAAAGGCCAUCGCUUAACGGAUAAAAGGUACGCCGGGGAUAACAGGCUAAUAACUCCUGAGAGUUCUUAUCGACGGAGUUGUUUGGCACCUCGAUGUCGACUCAUCGCAUCCUGGGGCUGAAGCAGGUCCCAAGGGUAUGGCUGUUCGCCAUUUAAAGCGGUACGUGAGUUGGGUUCAGAACGUCGUGAGACAGUUCGGUCCCUAUCUACCUUGGGUGUUAGAGUGUUGACGGUAACUGUC